RNAcentral lists this transfer RNA (84 nucleotides) under Caudoviricetes sp. RNAcentral describes it as "tRNA-Arg". The record is from RNAcentral. Lineage: Duplodnaviria; Heunggongvirae; Uroviricota; Caudoviricetes.
CACGGAGUGGAACAGUCUGGUAGUUCGCCAGGUCACGGCCGCAUAGCCGUCUGGAAAUCGGUGGUUUAAAUCCAUCCUCUGUGA